UACAGAGGGUGCGAGCGUUAAUCGGAAUUACUGGGCGUAAAGCGCAUGUAGGUGGUUUAAGAAGUUUGAUGUGAAAGCCCUGGGCUUAACCUGGGAAUGGCGUUGAAAACUAGUAGACUAGAGUCGGACAGAGGGUAGUGGAAUUUCCGGUGUAGCGGUGAAAUGCGUAGAGAUCGGAAAGAACACCAGUGGCGAAGGCGGCUACCUGGGUCCAGACUGACACUGAGGUGCGAAAGCGUGGGGAGCAAACAGG
This 253-nucleotide ribosomal RNA is filed under the name uncultured bacterium. Its description in RNAcentral is "partial 16S ribosomal RNA". It matches the Rfam family "Bacterial small subunit ribosomal RNA", at positions 524 to 776 of the family's 1533-position model. The record is from RNAcentral.